This is a long non-coding RNA of Gasterosteus aculeatus aculeatus (three-spined stickleback), 3405 nucleotides long. The record is from Ensembl. Lineage: Eukaryota; Metazoa; Chordata; Actinopteri; Perciformes; Gasterosteidae.
AAUAGUCAGGAAAUAAAAGCCCAUUACAAGCGGUAAAUUUUAUUAUGGGAUAACAGCACAUAAAGCACAUCUAAAAUCGAUGUGUCCAAUGCACUUUUAAUAAAGGUAAUAUUAAAGGUACAGUUUCUAAGUACAAUAUAACAACAUUCAUAUUAGAAUGAAAAGUAUUUAAAAGACAACAUUAAAUUUCUUAUUUUUCUUUACAGCUGUAUUUACAAAAUGAAUCAAAAUACUUAUUUUCAUAUUUGAGAAUCAGACAAGGAGCAAAACUACGUUUGUGAAUAGACUACCUGCUAAAGAGAGUUCAAAAGAGCUGGAUAAAAAGGUACAUGAUCAUCUGUCUCCAUUUUAACAUCAGUAGCAAAUGUGUGACUUAGAAAUUUGUGACAACCACACACUAGUUUUGACUUUCUCAUAAUUUGCACUGCUUUUGCAUGGAAAAAGAAUCCACCCCAGCUCCACCCACCCUCCACGUUAAGUUACCCCAACUGAAUGAGCGCACAUUGAACACAGAACAUUAAAGAAAUCCAAAUGUGUUGUAUGUCUCUUUUACAAACACAUACAACUACUCAAUAUACAAUGCAUUGGUAAACCUCAUUAAAAAAAACACAGAAACAAACAGAUAUUGAAGAAAUGUGGGUUGCCUGUUUUGUCUGACCAAAAGAAAGGUGAACUUUAUUUAUUUAGCAUUUAUUUGACCAUUCUUCAAGAUCAACAUGAAACAAACUUCCCAGUUGUGUUUCUCAAAAAACAAGGUAAGGGGUGACGAUGUACACUCUAAACGCACCAACUACACAUUGAAACCCUUUAACAUCGAGCGCAUCAACCCACAUGAAGGGUUAAAAAAAAAAAUCACGUAAAGAAAGAAUCUGAAAAACAUUUGAAGCAUGUGAGAGUUAAGAAUUCAUCCUCAUGUACAAAAUACAUCGUCACUUCAGUACACCUGUGUAAAACCACAAAAAAAUGACAAUCAAAACCAUGUAUGCAUCCUGUUACACCGAGAGGCACUCAGUGUGAUACGUUGUGUAUUAUUGCAAGCAUAUUCUCACUGAUAUUUGCUACAGAGUGGAGAGAAAAGGUCAACUUUGUCCUCAAAUUGCAAUUUUUUUUCAUGUACGGUAAAAUUGUAACACUUGAUGUGGUGCAAGAGGUUUACGCUACUGGUGUGAAGGAGCCAGUUUCUGGAUAGUCUAAAAUUGGGAAUAACAAAAGCAUAUACCGAGACUCUGUUUAAUAAAUCCAAGCACCACUUCCCUGCAUCAGGUGAAGAACUAUGCAGACACAAAGAGAGGUAAAUAUUAAGUAUCUUAAAACCUGACCAACUAUAGCCUCAGUGAGUGGUUUAUUACAAUCAGACAGAGAAAAAAAAAAAAAAACACAAUUCAGCGGUUUCAGUUUGAAUCUUAGCAUUUUUCCACAAACCAGAAAAGCAACCUUAAAUAGUUUGUUAAUUAGGAGACACUAGCUGUCCUAUAAGUCAGAAGGAAAUAAGUGCCUUAUCCCGAGACUAGCACACUGAUACAGGUACCAACCGGGUAAUUUUACCACUAUCAUUUUUAAUAUCAUUAUAAUUUAUUGAGUCCUAAUAUCAAUCACACAUUAAUAUGCAAUGAAAUGAAUGGACUAAUAGGGAAGCCAGGCGUAGGAAUUAAUACUUAGUUCACAAAAUUAACUUAACCUAGCACCACACAUCAGGGCAACACAAAAUAAAUGUCAGCACACCCGAUCUCUAUCAAACUAAUCCUAAAGGAGGGAAGCAAACUAGAGAGAUAUCGUACAAAAGGGGGUAAUUGACAAACAGAUAAAUAGUUUCCCAGGGUAGGCCUUAGUAGCAGUAUUUUCUUCUUACCUAUACAGACAGAAAUUACAGAGCUACCUUUAUACAUGUGAUCAAUGAUAUUAAAUAUGGUGAAUAAGCGGCUGACAAUGAGGGAGAUCAAGAGUGGGAAAAGAAGUUCUUAGUUCUCCACCUGGGAACAGAACUGGUCAAAUAUACAAAUGGAACAUAAAAAAAUCCACAAAAUUAACACAAGGUAAACCAAAAAGUGAUAAAUUAAAAAGGUGUAUUUACAUGCAGAUGUUCAAAGACUAUUAUGCACAAAAGAAUCCAAAAUAAAACACAGACAUAUAUUAUUGCUUGACAUUCGAUUAUGGCUAAAAGUUGCUUUUCAUUUUUUUUUCUUCACUAUAUUCUUAAACUUAUUUUGAAUCAUAAAUACUUAUCAGCUGUGCUUUGGAAAAUGAGUUGCUUAGAAUAUGAUGACCGACUCAUAAUUUCGGGAUAACACACCGACACUCCAGCACAACGUUAAGCGCGACGUAACACUGAUCUUCACAAUUUAUGGCCGAGAAGACUCGUUUAAACAAUUUACUCUCUCGAAAUUCGUUUCAAUCCAUCACAGCUCGGGCCGUGGCCGCACUGUCCGAACCGAUAAUGUUUUGCGCUGAGAAGCUGGUCAAUGGUGCCUCCCAGGAUUCGGCACACUCAUGAAUUGUUGAAGGUAUUAUGUCAUGCUUUAAAAAAAAAAAAAAACUACACCUAUUAUGGAUGGAUCAAGCUCGGCAAUUCCAAAACCGUACAUUUCUAAAAUAGACCAAGAGAAAAUCCUUUUCCACGUAACCCUGUUCCUUUGUAAUUAUUAAAGCCUUGUCUGGGGUUUCAUUUAUUCACACACUGUGAGAACAAACACACACACACACACACACACACUAUUGCUUUGUACAGACAGACAACGGAGCAGAGACAGAAGGACCAGCACAUUUGACUGUAUACUACACACUGAUUGAAUAGCACACUUAGCAUCAAUCCCUUACAUAAACUGGGUUAUAUCAUGUGAGAAUACACAGAAGGACAUCACUUUACAGGCCUGUGUGAAGGCGCAGUUUAUCGUUAGACACAAGAAGUCAUGUGUUCGAUGACCAUUUUCUGCUAUCGUGCCAAGAUCAUAACAGUACAGAGAUGACAGAGUGUGGGUAUUUUUUUUGUAUAUCAUUAGUUUGAUUCAGCGGAACAAAGUCAAAUAAAAAAGGACGAUGACUGCACUGUAGAGACCCGUAUUGUAAGACAAGGCAUAUUGCUUGUUUUGUAUUGUAGAACACAUUAUACGCCAUUCGGGAAAAAAAAAGAUUUUUUUUCCCCCACUUUAUCAGAGACGAAAGAGACCUCAGCUGAUCAUGUUUAAGAAAAAUACUGAAUUGUUUUAGGCGACCAUCAAGCGAUAUUACAACAGCUUAAGAAAAUGGAAUCAUUUUUUUUUUGCAAAUAAAUAACAGGAUUUCAGCUGAGCCUCCAUCUAUUAAUACUUUUCUGAACAGUAAGUGCUCGCUGCUCCAAACGUUCGAUGUGCUACGCCGCCCUCCUCAUAUCAUCGGGUGCUUUGAAGAGAUUUUAAAGACCUCAUAAAU